UACGAAGGGGGCUAGCGUUGCUCGGUAUCACUGGGCGUAAAGGGUGCGUAGGCGGGUUUUUAAGUCAGGGGUGAAAUCCUGGAGCUCAACUCCAGAACUGCCUUUGAUACUGAAGAUCUUGAGUCCGGAAGAGGUGAGUGGAACUGCGAGUGUAGAGGUGAAAUUCGUAGAUAUUAGGAAGAACACCAGUGGCGAAGGCGGCUCACUGGCCCGGUACUGACGCUGAGGCGCGAAAGCGUGGGGAGCAAACAGG
RNAcentral lists this ribosomal RNA (253 nucleotides) under uncultured bacterium. RNAcentral describes it as "partial 16S ribosomal RNA". It matches the Rfam family "Bacterial small subunit ribosomal RNA", at positions 524 to 776 of the family's 1533-position model. The record is from RNAcentral.